Molecule: RNase P RNA, 359 nt
Filed under: Halopseudomonas sabulinigri
Lineage: Bacteria; Pseudomonadati; Pseudomonadota; Gammaproteobacteria; Pseudomonadales; Pseudomonadaceae
Description: Pseudomonas sabulinigri Bacterial RNase P class A
Rfam family: Bacterial RNase P class A
About the family: Ribonuclease P (RNase P) is a ubiquitous endoribonuclease, found in archaea, bacteria and eukarya as well as chloroplasts and mitochondria. Its best characterised activity is the generation of mature 5'-ends of tRNAs by cleaving the 5'-leader elements of precursor-tRNAs. Cellular RNase Ps are ribonucleoproteins.
Source: RNAcentral
AGAGUUGGCUGGACAGUCGCUCUGUUGGUUCCUUCUGGCGCUGGCAGGGAGGAAAGUCCGGGCUCCAUAGGGCAGAGUGCCAGGUAACGCCUGGGAGGCGUGAGCCUACGGAAAGUGCAGCAGAAAGCAAACCGCCUAAGCGCGCAAGCGCCGGUAAGGGUGAAAAGGUGCGGUAAGAGCGCACCGCGCAGCUGGUAACAGACUGUGGCGUGGUAAACCCCACUCGGAGCAAGACCAAAUAGGAAUCCAUUGGUGUGGCCCGCACUGGAUUCGGGUAGGUUGCUAGAGGUCACCAGUGAUGGUGAUCCCAGAGGAAUGACUGUUCUCGACAGAACCCGGCUUACAGGCCAACUCUUAUU